UAGGGAAUCUUCCACAAUGGACGCAAGUCUGAUGGAGCAACGCCGCGUGAGUGAAGAAGGUUUUCGGAUCGUAAAGCUCUGUUGUUGGUGAAGAAGGAUAGAGGUAGUAACUGGCCUUUAUUUGACGGUAAUCAACCAGAAAGUCACGGCUAACUACGUGCCAGCAGCCGCGGUAAUACGUAGGUGGCAAGCGUUGUCCGGAUUUAUUGGGCGUAAAGCGAGCGCAGGCGGAAGAAUAAGUCUGAUGUAAAAGCCCUCGGCUUAACCGAGGAACUGCAUCGGAAACUGUUUUUCUUGAGUGCAGAAGAGGAGAGUGGAAUUCCAUGUGUAGCGGUGGAAUGCGUAGAUAUAUGGAAGAACACCAGUGGCGAAGGCGACUCUCUGGUCUGCAACUGACGCUGAGGCUCGAAAGCAUGGGUAGCGAACAGG
Molecule: ribosomal RNA, 429 nt
Filed under: bacterium
Lineage: Bacteria
Description: partial 16S ribosomal RNA
Rfam family: Bacterial small subunit ribosomal RNA
Source: RNAcentral